UACGGAGGGUGCAAGCGUUUAUCCGGAUUCACUGGGUUUAAAGGGUGCGUAGGUGGGCAGGUAAGUCCGUGGUGAAAUCUCUGAGCUUAACUCAGAAACUGCCGUGGAUACUAUUUGUCUUGAAUGUUGUGGGAGGUGAGCGGAAUAUGUCAUGUAGCGGUGAAAUGCUUAGAUAUGACAUAGAACACCAAUUGCGAAGGCAGCUCACUACACAACUAUUGACGCUGAGACACGAAAGCCAGGGGAGCAAACGGG
Molecule: ribosomal RNA, 255 nt
Filed under: uncultured bacterium
Lineage: Bacteria
Description: partial 16S ribosomal RNA
Rfam family: Bacterial small subunit ribosomal RNA
Source: RNAcentral